GGAUGUGAGGUCGAUCUGGCUAUGACAUCUGUCACCCCAUUGCUCACCAGGAUUGAUUUGGCUGGCUAGGUGGGUGUCCCAUUCCUCCCUCACCACUCCAGUUUUUGUGGGUUUUUUUCUAUAAUUUAGACUUUUUAAAUUUUGAUAAAGUCAGAGACAUAUAGGGUUAGGGAAGACAAAAGAGAUAGAACAAGAAAGAGAUGCUUAUAGCCUCCUUCAUUACUUG
This 226-nucleotide small nuclear RNA is filed under the name Erinaceus europaeus (western European hedgehog). RNAcentral's name for it is "7SK RNA". It matches the Rfam family "7SK RNA". Rfam says of the family: 7SK was discovered as an abundant small nuclear RNA in the mid-70s but a possible function has only recently been suggested. Two independent studies have found that 7SK RNA binds the CDK9/cyclin T complex (known as elongation factor P-TEFb). The record is from Rfam by way of RNAcentral. Lineage: Eukaryota; Metazoa; Chordata; Mammalia; Eulipotyphla; Erinaceidae.